Long non-coding RNA from Halichondria panicea, 1403 nucleotides. RefSeq lists it as uncharacterized. The record is from RefSeq and is a predicted model, not a curated record. NCBI's taxonomy places the organism in Eukaryota, Metazoa, Porifera, Demospongiae, Suberitida, Halichondriidae. The transcript has 2 exons.
UUAAUCGGCCUGGAUUCGAGGCUAGUCCUGGCAUAGAUAGUAAAGGAAAGGGAUUGGAAACGCAUUACGUCAUAUGUCACCAUCCUACUUACGGAUUGUAGCCUCGAUUACAGGCCCUCCAUUGCGGCGUAAAUCGAAGCCACAUGGUAUAAUUAUGAGAGUAUCUCAAGUUGGAGCCCUAAGCAUGUCUAAGCUCAUACUGUGGACAGUGUAGUUAAAGGAUAAGGGCUUCAUGAUGGCAUCCAUAUCAGUAAAAAAAGCUAGAUCUAUUUUAGUUACAUAAUUAUAAACACGACAACAAUGUAUUUAUUAUCUUACUAAACUCCCUUUGUGAGUCUUGACACUAAUCAUAAGUGUAAUACUGUACUCUAAGGGAUGUCAAUAAAUUAUAUUAUAUAAUGUUUAAAGUAAGUGGUUGCAAAACUACAGUGUAUACACACAAGCAAAAAUAAACAUGUAUAUAAUUAUGUUAGCCUCGAUCCCAGGCCGAGUUUUCGCUUUUAUAACGGUUAGGCGAACAACUGGGCCUGGUACUAGUUGUCUGCGCAUGCGUCAGUCGUUUGUCAGAUUCUGACGAAUGGAUAUUCUCGUUCACUUUCGUGACAUUUAUAUUCGUGUACUAUCGUGUACUAGAAGUCAGUUCCCGUUUUAUCAUUAUUGGAAUGGCUCUUAGCUGAAGCUUCUCUCUUCUCUGAAGCUUAGAAAACAUUAUUCUGAAGACUGAACAACAAGGGAAAAGGUAUAAAGCUUUGUCAAGCUUGUUAAGGUCAGAUAUUUUUGUGUGGGCCCUAUGCUAUCAUGUCAAGUCGUGUUCAUGUUUGGUAUUAAAAGAUCUAUAGUAUCAUCAUUAAUAUGGUGGAUCAAGUGAAGAGUGUGAGCUAGAGAACUUGGUGCUGCCAUCAUCAGCUCGUCGACAAUGACACUAUAACCUGUUUAAUACGAGAAAUUUAAUAUGUACAUGUAUACAGUAGAUCUACACGUAUUUUGAAUGUCUACUUCUCUGUACAGGAGCAAUGGCUACUAUCCAGCUAUCCCAACAUUGUUCCUCUUGGCCAUACUAACGGACAAGACUGGACAGUUUAAGGACUGGAGUAUGACCUGAUCGUUUGAGUGUUGCUGGGUAGCUCAGAGGCAUCAAGAGAAUCUACGUUUUCUCAAGCAAAGUUUAACUGAGUUACAAGUUGGGGCCUAGAAUCAGAGAAGUCCAGCAGCCUGCUAAAUCGUUGAAACGUAAUUUGAAGGCAUUCAAUCAUCUUGAAGUUGCCCUGGGUCACUGUAAUCGUGCUGCAGCACAACUGGCAACUCCCCAGGCCCUUGUGAAGCAGCUCCCUAUGUGCAUCUUUUGUGUACUCACUCUGUGCAUUUUCUGUGUACAAAUUUCGAUUAUUGAUUUAUUAAAUAUC